This is a non-coding RNA of Pelobates cultripes (western spadefoot toad), 1333 nucleotides long. NCBI's taxonomy places the organism in Eukaryota, Metazoa, Chordata, Amphibia, Anura, Pelobatidae. The record is from the annotation of a GenBank genome assembly.
CCAGAAUAAAAUUGUUGACGGGUUUAGUGCCUACCUACUUAAGGGGACACUAUAGUCACCAAUACAACUUUAGCUUAAUGAAGCAGUGUUGGUGUAUAGAUCAUGCCUCUGCAGUCUCACUGCUCAAUUCUCUGCCAUUUAGGAGUUAAAUUACUUUGUUUAUGAACCACUGUCACACCUCCCUGCAUGUGACUUGCACAGCCUCCCCAAACACUUCCUGUAAAAAGUAAUCUACCGUUUAUCCGUCCUUCAUUCCAAGUUCUGUAUAAUUUAGGUUUUCUCAUCCCCUGCUAUGUUUAUAGCUUGCUAGACCCAGCAAUAGCCUCCUGUAAGUGAUUAAAGUUCAAUUUACAGGGAAAGAGAUACAAUUGUUUAAGGUAAAUUACAUCUGAUUAAAAGUGAAACCAGUUUUUUUUUUUUUUUCAUGCAGGCUGUGUCAAUCAGAGCCAUGGAGGUGUGACAAGGGCUGCAUAAACAGAAACAAAGUGAUUUAACUCCUAAAAGGCAAUGAAUUGAGCAGUGAAACCUGAGGGGCAUGAUGUACACACAAAAACUGCUUAAUUCAGCUAAAGUUGUUUAGGUGACUAUAAUGUUACUUUAAUAUACUUUUAAGAAAUUUAAGUAUGUAGUUUAAGUAUGUAAUUCCAAAAUGAAGAAGAGAAAAAAAUUAAGUUUCCCACCCUCCGAUAUUAAAGAAACACUCCAAGGACCAUAAUCACUACAGCUUGAUGUCCUGUUUAUGGUGCUGGAGUGACCUGGCACUCUCCCAGAGUAGUCAAAGUUUUUAAGCUAAAGUUGUUUUAGUGACUAUAGUAUUCCUUUAAACAGCAAGUGGUCAAUUGUACCAACUACCACUCAUGAAUUUGAACGAGCCUUUUGGCUAUAUAUAGGCUUGGCUUACAUGUUGAACACUAGAGAUUAUGAGUUUAUUCAUUAAGACUAGAAGUAACAAAUUGCACAUUUUGGAACACAUAGCUGAAUUAGAGAACAUUUCUAAUACGGCUACUUUUUUUUUAAACCAGGCUAUUUUAGCAUAAAUUUGCAAUUUGUUCGUAAAACAUGGUGUGUAAACAAAUCCCUGUGUAUAUGACUUGUUUACUGAGUAUCUGUAUUGAUUGGCAUAUAUUAGAGGACCUGUGAAAUCCUUCAUUACGAAGCUCUACAAGGGAAGAAAGGAUGUCCCCAGUCUAAUCCUGGCUCAUUAGGAGGAACAUGUCAUUUCAUUCUGUAUGAAGCAACGGGUAGGUUUUUCUUGGAGAAACAGCUUGUUUAAAACAUAACAUUCUUGGGCCCUCUGGGACCAGAAAAACUGCUUGUUUUAAAUAGUGCAUCC